RNAcentral lists this long non-coding RNA (2213 nucleotides) under Homo sapiens (human). Its description in RNAcentral is "long non-coding RNA NONHSAT193552.1". The record is from RNAcentral. Lineage: Eukaryota; Metazoa; Chordata; Mammalia; Primates; Hominidae.
CCGGGGCGUCCCCCGCGGGAGCCCGCAGCCACCCGGGACGCGCAUCCAGACGUGGCGCUUCGGACCGGGCACGCUGCGCCCGGGGGCUCGGCGGACCCCGCGUAGCCGCCGCUUCGGAGCUUGUGCGGCGCGGGCUGGCCAGCGGGGCGGCCAGGGCCCGGCCCGCCUCCCCAGCGCCCGCCCGGCUUCUCCCCCUGGCGGUGGGAGCCUCGGCGGCCGCUGGCGACACUAGGCGCACUGAAGCCCGAGCCGAGCCGAGCCCGAGCCGCCGCCGCCGCCGCCGCUGCUGCGCACCGCUCCCGGGCUCCCUCCCAGCGCGCCGGCCGGGGUGUGGGGGGCGGCGGGCCGGAGGGGCGAGGGCGGGCCAGGGGGCGCACACGGGGGUUGGCGCGGAAGACAGGACCCUCAGCCUCGAGGGGUGCCUGGUUCCACAUGCACUUUAACCUGCUUUAUUUAGGCUUUUGAAAGCAACCUAAAUAGCUAACAUUGACUAAAUAAGUGCAGUAUACCUGGUCUGUGUGACAUUUUGCAGGUAUUAAAAAGUGAACAUUCUGAACCCUUUUAGCAAUAUGGCAAAUACUUCUGAUGUGAUGUAUGCAUAUAAAUAUGAUCGAAAGCAAAUAUCCCAAAAGGUUGAUGGCAGUUAUGUCAGGUUAGUAGCACAAUAGUUUCUUUUCUCAUUUUCUCACAUUUUUAGUAAUGUGUGUUGCCUAUAUUAAAAAACAAAUAUUAAAAAGUAGUAGCAUGUAUUAGAUCAGAGCAUGGGCUCAGACUGCCUGUGUCAUCUCUUAUUAGAUGUAUGACCAGGGACAAGUUAUUGACCUUUUGUUUCUAAGUCUCUAAGUUUAUCCUGUAAAAUGAAGAUAAUUGUAGUAACUACCUAAUAACAUGAUUGUAAGGAUUAAAUUAUUUAGAACACUAUUUGUUACUUGGAAAAUAUGCAAUCAUAAGCUAUUUUGUUGUUAUUGUUAUUUUACUACCAAAGCUUAUUGUUUCAGAGCCCCUAGGUGACCAGGCAAAAUGGCAGUUCCUUCCAGCUGGUCCUCAGAUGGGCACAUCUAUUAGCCUCUGCUCUUGUAAGAAGUUAGCUGCAGAACCCACAUGUGAAUCCUUGUAGGCUUUCAGGACUCUGGAGAAGAUCAAAUGGGAGCUUAGAUGUGGAAGCUCUUUGGAAACCAAGAAACACUCUGAAAAUGAAAAGGGAUAAGAAUGUUUAUCACAGCAUGGCAUAUAUUGGAAGUUUAGUAAAUGAAGAUACAUCCAAUCUGACAUUCUAUUCACAACCACAAAGAGAUAAUGUAGAAACAUAUUUAGUAAUGUGAGAAAAUACUAAAUAUUAAGUGAAAAAGGUAUUUCUCAAGAGUGUCAUGAAAGACAAUGAUAAACGAGGAAUUGUCUCAGAUUGGAGGAGACUAAGGUGAUGAAGAAUUAAAUACAAUGUGGAAUUCUGGAUUGGACCCAGGAACAGAAAAAAGGCAUUAGUGGAAAACUGGCAAAAUCUGAAUAAAGUCUGUGGAAGAGUAAACUGUUCCUGUUUCUCCAUCUUGACAGGAAGCAGAAGUUCUCCUUAGCUGAUUUUUCUUCUUGCCUUAUACUGGGUUCUUUAACACCAGAACAAAAAUAAAUAAAUAAAAGAAUCUUCCAGAAAUUCAUGAAGAGACUUCAGGUCAGGAAAGCCUGAACUUUCUCAUCCAACACCCGUUCAAGUCGGAGGAUGCUGAUUAAUUCAUGAUGGAAAGGUAUCAAUUUCACAGCCCAGACCUCUACAUUCUUGAAAUGCUCUUCUCAUGGGAGACAUUAAAUAAGCUUUGAAUUAACUGUAGACCUCUGUGGAUUCUAUAACUCAAAGACCCAGGCUGACGGCUGGUGGAAUAGCUACCAUCUCAAACAUGGCGUGAUGCUGCAUCAGAGAGAAAAAUAAGCUCUUGCAUUGACAAUGAAAUGUCUACCCUGUAGUGACUUGUGCUUACUUCCACUCACAAGUGAUUGCCCAGAGCUACUUACCUGGCUCCAAUCUACCACUGGGUGUGUACUUGCAAUCUACCAUGUACCUAGAAGAUGAGAGAAACAAAUUAUUAAUGAUGACCACACCCCAAUACUAACAACAAUUGCAGAAGAAUCAAUGACUUAAACAAAAAUGUGGCCAUUGAAGGAAUAGAAAAUAUAGUGAGUUUAGUGUAAAUUUAAAAGUGAUUUAUAAGUAACAUACAAAA